This 248-nucleotide ribosomal RNA is filed under the name uncultured bacterium. RNAcentral's name for it is "partial 16S ribosomal RNA". It matches the Rfam family "Bacterial small subunit ribosomal RNA", at positions 85 to 334 of the family's 1533-position model. The record is from RNAcentral.
CGUAUGGCGACCGGCGCACGGGUGAGUAACGCGUAUGCAACCUGCCUGAUACCGGGGUAUAGCCCAUGGAAACGUGGAUUAACACCCCAUAGUACUUUUAUCCUGCCUGGGAUGGGAGUUAAAUGUUCAAGGUAUCGGAUGGGCAUGCGUCCUAUUAGUUAGUUGGCGGGGUAACAGCCCACCAAGACGAUGAUAGGUAGGGGUUCUGAGAGGAAGGUCCCCCACAUUGGAACUGAGACACGGUCCAA